RNAcentral lists this ribosomal RNA (526 nucleotides) under uncultured bacterium. RNAcentral describes it as "bacterial SSU rRNA". It matches the Rfam family "Bacterial small subunit ribosomal RNA", at positions 777 to 1301 of the family's 1533-position model. The record is from RNAcentral.
AAUAGAUACCCCGGUAGUCCACGCCGUAAACGAUGAGUGCUAAGUGUUAGAGGGUUUCCGCCCUUUAGUGCUGCAGCUAACGCAUUAAGCACUCCGCCUGGGGAGUACGGUCGCAAGACUGAAACUCAAAGGAAUUGACGGGGGCCCGCACAAGCGGUGGAGCAUGUGGUUUAAUUCGAAGCAACGCGAAGAACCUUACCAGGUCUUGACAUCCUCUGACAACUCUAGAGAUAGAGCGUUCCCCUUCGGGGGACAGAGUGACAGGUGGUGCAUGGUUGUCGUCAGCUCGUGUCGUGGGAUGUUGGGUUAAGUCCCGCAACGAGCGCAACCCUUGAUCUUAGUUGCCAGCAUUCAGUUGGGCACUCUAAGGUGACUGCCGGUGACAAACCGGAGGAAGGUGGGGAUGACGUCAAAUCAUCAUGCCCCUUAUGACCUGGGCUACACACGUGCUACAAUGGAUGGUACAAAGGGCUGCAAGACCGCGAGGUCAAGCCAAUCCCAUAAAACCAUUCUCAGUUCGGAUUGU